CGGAAGGAUCAUUGUCAAAUCCUUGUACCGAAUGACCUGCGAACACGUUCCGAAAAAUCACAAGCGCUGUUGCGCCCUCGCUCGGUGUUGGUCGGUGACCUGUUGCCGGACGCGUCGAGCAUGGAAAACAAAAAUCCGGCGCGGGAAGCGCCGAGGACUAGCGAAGUAUAGAGGAUGGCCUUUCCCGCGGUAUCCUGGCCGCGGGGAUUAAAGGGCGUCCGAAUGAAAAUGGUUGCGUACAACACGACUCUCGGCAACGGAUAUCUAGGCUCUCGCAUCGAUGAAGAACGUAGCAAACUGCGAUAGUUGGUGUGAAUUGCAGAAUCCCGUGAACCAUGGAGUCUUUGAACGCAAGUUGCGCCCGAAGCCGUCGGGCCGAGGGCACGUCUGCCUGGGCGUCACGCAUUGCGUCGUCCCCCCACCCCCCUCACCCGGGUGCCGAAAGGGUCGCGGGCCGUAGCGUGGGGGGCGGAAGUUGGCUUCCCGUGCAGCGUUUGCGGCUAGCCCGAAACAACGGUUCCCCUCGGCGCGGACGCGGCGACAAGUGGUGGUCGUGGAGAUCGUACGCGAGUUGGCGGGAAAGCUGCGUCGAGGAGAGCAUUCGGACCCCGUGCGAGUCGAGUCCCUUCAGCGGGGAGGGGCAAUCGCAACGAUUGCGACCCCAGGUCAGGC
This 672-nucleotide ribosomal RNA is filed under the name Vincetoxicum cernuum. Its description in RNAcentral is "partial 18S ribosomal RNA". The stretch from base 246 to 401 matches the Rfam family "5.8S ribosomal RNA". The record is from RNAcentral. Lineage: Eukaryota; Viridiplantae; Streptophyta; Magnoliopsida; Gentianales; Apocynaceae.